UCAAGAUAAUAACCAAAAACAGCAAAAUUUCCUUAAAAAUACCAAUUCAGGGGCAGCAACCCUACAACGGGUUGUCGGAUUCAUCUGAAAAUUUGAGGGCAGAAAGAUCUUGACCUGAUAAACAAUUUUACCCCACGUCAGAUUUGCUCUAAAUGCUUUGGUUUUUGAGUUAUAAGCCAAAAACUGCAUUUUACCCCUAUGUUCUAUUUUUAGCCAUGGCGGCCACCUUGGUUGGUUGGGCUGGUCACGCCACACAUUUUUUAAACUAGAUACCCCAAUGAUGAUUGUGGCCAAGUUUUGUUUAAUUUGGCCCAAUAGUUUCAGAGGAGAAGAUUUUUGUAAAAGAUUACUAAGAUUUACGAAAAAAUGGUUAAAAUUUGACUAUAAAGGGCAAUAACUCCUAUAGGGGUCAUUUGACCAUUUCGUUCGUGUUGACAUAUUUGUAAAUCUUACUUUGCUGAACAUUAUUGCUGUAUACAGUUUAUCUCUAUCUAUAAUAAUAUUCAAGAUAAUAACCAAAAACAGCAAAAUUUCCUUAAAAAUACCAAUUCAGGGGCAGCAACCCAACAACAGGUUGUCUGAUUCAUCUGAAAAUUUCAGGACAGAUAGAUCUUGACCUGAUUAACACUUUUAACCCAUGUCAGAUUUGCUCUAAAUGCUUUGGUUUUUGAGUUAUAAGCCAAAAACUGCAUUUUACCCCUAUGUUCUAUUUUUAGCCAUGGCAGCCAUCUUGGUUGGUUGGCCGGGUCACGCCACACAUUUUUUAAACUAGAUACCCCAAAGAUGAUUGUGGCCAAGCUUGGAUUAAUUUGGCCCAGUAGUUUCAGAGGAGAAGAUUUUUGUAAAAGAUUUCUAAGAUUUACGAAAAACGGUUAAAAAUUGACUAUAAAGGUCAAUAACUCCUAAAGGGGUCAACUGACCAUUUUAGUCAUGUUGGCUUAUUUGUAAAUCUAACUUUGCUGAACAUUAUUGCUGUUUACAGUUUAUCUCUAUCUAUAAUAAUAUUCAAGAUAAUAACCAAAAACUGCAAAAAAUCCCUAAAAUUACCAAUUCAGGGGCAGUAACCCAACAACGGGUUGUCGGAUUCAUCUGAAAAUUUGAGGGCAGAAAGAUCUUGACCUGAUAAACAAUUUUACCCCAUGUCAGAUUUGCUCUAAAUGCUUUGGUUUUUGAGUUAUAAGCCAAAAAACUGCAUUUUACCCCUAUGUUCUAUUUUUAGCCAUGGCGGCCAUCUUGGUUGGUUGGCCGGGUCACGCCACACAUUUUUUAAACUAGAUACCUCAAUGAUGAUUGUGGCCAAGUUUGGUUUGAUUUGGCCCAGUAGUUUCAGAGGAGAAGAUUUUUGUAAAAGUUAACGACGACGGACGACACGACACGACGACGACGACGGACGACGGACGACGGACGACGGACGACGGACGCCAAGUGAUGGGAAAAGCUCACUUGGCCCUUCGGGCCAGGUGAGCUAAAAAACCGAACUUGAAAUGCGUAAUUGACCCAGACUUUAAAUCAUUUCCGGAAAGGACCCAAAGUUCCGGAUCGCGUCAAUAGAGGUAUUAAAAAAAAAUUCUUCAAAUUUAAAGCAAUAAAAUUUUCACAGUCGGGAGGAUUUUCAAGGGUCGGUCGGUAAACUGCAAACAAAC
RNAcentral lists this long non-coding RNA (1643 nucleotides) under Mytilus galloprovincialis (Mediterranean mussel). The record is from RNAcentral. Lineage: Eukaryota; Metazoa; Mollusca; Bivalvia; Mytilida; Mytilidae.